RNAcentral lists this ribosomal RNA (440 nucleotides) under uncultured bacterium. RNAcentral describes it as "bacterial SSU rRNA". It matches the Rfam family "Bacterial small subunit ribosomal RNA", at positions 338 to 795 of the family's 1533-position model. The record is from RNAcentral.
CCUACGGGGGGCUGCAGUAACGAAUCUUCCGCAAUGCACGCAAGUGUGACGGAGCGACGCCGCGUGCGGGACGAAGCCCUUCGGGGUGUAAACCGCUGUCAGGGGAAAGAAAGUUCUGAUCUACCCCAGAGGAAGGGACGGCUAACUCUGUGCCAGCAGCCGCGGUAAGACAGAGGUCCCGAGCGUUAGGCGGAAUCACUGGGCUUAAAGCGUGUGUAGGCGGACCUGUAAGUACCUUGUGAAAUCCCACGGCUCACCCGUGGAACUGCUCGGUAUACUGCGGGUCUUGAGCCACCUAGGGGCGAGCGGAACAAGUGGUGGAGCGGUGAAAUGCGUAGAUAUCACUUGGAACGCCAAUGGUGAAAACAGCUCGCUGGGGGUGUGCUGACGCUGAGACACGAAAGCCAGGGGAGCAAACGGGAUUAGAUACCCUGGUAGUC